UAACAAGGAUUCCCCUAGUAACUGCGAGUGAAGCGGGAAAAGCUCAAAUUUAAAAUCUGGCGGUCUUUGGCCGUCCGAGUUGUAAUCUAGAGAAGUGAUGCCCGUGCUGGACCGUGUAUAAGUCUCCUGGGAUGGGGCGUCAUAGAGGGUGAGAAUCCCGUCUUUGACACGGACUACCAGUGCAUUGUGGUAUGCUCUCAAAGAGUCGAGUUGUUUGGGAAUGCAGCUCAAAAUGGGUGGUAAAUUCCAUCUAAAGCUAAAUAUUGGCGAGAGACCGAUAGCGAACAAGUACCGUGAGGGAAAGAUGAAAAGAACUUUGGAAAGAGAGUUAAACAGUACGUGAAAUUGCUGAAAGGGAAACGCUUGAAGUCAGUCGCGUUGGCCGGGAAUCAGCCUUGCUUUUGCAUGGUGUACUUUCUGGUUGACGGGUCAGCAUCAAUUUUGAUCACUGGAAAAGGCUCAAGGGAAUGUGGCAGCUUCGGCUGUGUUAUAGCCCCUGUUCACAUACAGUGGUUGGGAUUGAGGAACUCAGCACGCCGCAAGGCCGGGUUUCGACCACGUUCGUGCUUAGGAUGCUGGCAUAAUGGCUUUAAGCGACCCGUCUUGAAACACGGACCAAGGAGUCUAACAUGCCUGCGAGUAUUUGGGUGGAAAACCCAGGUGCGCAAUGAAAGUGAAAGUUGAGAUCCCUGUCGUGGGGAGCAUCGACGCCCGGACCAGAACUUUUGGGACGGAUCCGCGGUGGAGCAUGUAUGUUGGGACCCGAAAGAUGGUGAACUAUGCCUGAAUAGGGUGAAGCCAGAGGAAACUCUGGUGGAGGCUCGUAGCGAUUCUGACGUGCAAAUCGAUCGUCAAAUUUGGGUAUAGG
This 868-nucleotide ribosomal RNA is filed under the name Agaricus catenariocystidiosus. RNAcentral's name for it is "partial large subunit ribosomal RNA". It matches the Rfam family "Eukaryotic large subunit ribosomal RNA", at positions 66 to 921 of the family's 3401-position model. The record is from RNAcentral. Lineage: Eukaryota; Fungi; Basidiomycota; Agaricomycetes; Agaricales; Agaricaceae.